This 382-nucleotide ribosomal RNA is filed under the name uncultured cyanobacterium. Its description in RNAcentral is "bacterial SSU rRNA". It matches the Rfam family "Bacterial small subunit ribosomal RNA", at positions 377 to 770 of the family's 1533-position model. The record is from RNAcentral. Lineage: Bacteria; Bacillati; Cyanobacteriota.
GAAAGCCUGACAGAGCAAUACCGCGUGAGGGAAUAUAGAAAGCCUGCGGGUUGUGAACCUCUUUUCUCAAAGAAGAAGAUCUGACGGUAUUUGAGGAAUAAGCAUCGGCUAACUCCGUGCCAGCAGCCGCGGUAAUACGGGAGAUGCAAGCGUUAUCCGGAAUCACUGGGCGUAAAGCGUCUGCAGGUGGUUUAUUAAGUCCUUUGUUAAAUUCUGAGGCUUAACCUAAGGUCUGCAAAGGAAACUAAUAAUCUUGAGUAUGGUAGAGGUAGAGGGAAUUUCCAGUGGAGCGGUGAAAUGCGUAGAUAUUGGAAAGAACACCGAGGGCGAAAGCACUCUACUGGGCCAUAACUGACACUCAGAGACGAAAGCUAGGGGAGCA